Molecule: ribosomal RNA, 938 nt
Filed under: uncultured archaeon
Lineage: Archaea
Description: bacterial SSU rRNA
Rfam family: Archaeal small subunit ribosomal RNA
Source: RNAcentral
UUCCGGUUGAUCCUGCCAGACCCGACUGCUAUUUGGGUGAGGAUAAGCCAUGCGAGUUGAAUGGGAUACCCAAAGUUCCCAUGGCAAACUGCUCAGUAACACAUGAUCAACUUACCCUAUAGAGAAAAAUAACCUCGGGAAACUGAGGAUAAUGUUUCAUAGUUGAAUUGGCUUGGAAAAGUUUUUCGACGAAAGGGGUAAAAAGAAUGGUUUUUAUCUGCUAUAGGAUAGGAUCGUGUUCGAUUAUGGUUGUUGGUGAGGUAAUGGCUCACCAAGCCGAUAAUCGAUAGGGGCCGUGAGAGCGGGAGCCCCGAGAUGGGUACUGAGACAACGACCCAGGCCUUACGAGGCGCAGCAGGCGCGAAACCUCCGCAAUACACGAAAGUGUGACGGGGUUACCCAAAGUGUUCAAUUUUGAACUGUGGUAGGUGAGUAAUGUUCCCUACUAGAAAGGAGAGGGCAAGGCUGGUGCCAGCCGCCGCGGUAAAACCAGCUCUUCAAGUGGUCGGGAUAAUUAUUGGGCUUAAAGUGUCCGUAGCCGGUUUAGUAAGUUCCUGGUAAAAUCGGGUAGCUUAACUAUCUAUAUGCUAGGAAUACUACUAUACUAGAGGGCGGGAGAGGUCUGAGGUACUACAGGGGUAGGGGUGAAAUCUUAUAAUCCUUGUUGGACCACCAGUGGCGAAGGCGUCAGACUGGAACGCGCCUGACGGUGAGGGACGAAAGCCAGGGGAGCGAACCGGAUUAGAUACCCGGGUAGUCCUGGCCGUAAACGAUGCAUACUAGGUGAUGGCACGGCCAUGAGCCGUGUCAGUGCCGUAGGGAAACCGUUAAUUGUGCCGCCUGGGAAGUACGGUCGCAAGGCUAAAACUUAAAGGAAUUGGCCGGGGGAGCACCACAAGGGGUGAAGCCUGCGGUUCAAUUGGAUUCAACGCCGGGAA